UUAAUUGAAGCCAAAAAGAGGCUUAUCACUGUUAAUGAUAAUAUUGAAAAUAUAUUCCAAUUAAA
This 65-nucleotide transfer RNA is filed under the name Janthinomyia sp. PH-2020. Its description in RNAcentral is "tRNA-Asn". Lineage: Eukaryota; Metazoa; Arthropoda; Insecta; Diptera; Tachinidae. The record is from RNAcentral.